GAGGAAUCUUGGUCAUUCGCCGCAAUCCUGACCCAGCAAUGCCGCGCGCAGGAUGAAGGCCUUCGGGCUGUAAGGCCCUUUUGUUGGGAAAGAAAAGCAGCCGGCCACUCCCCGGUUGUUCUGACGGUACCCUAAGAACAAGCACAGGCUAACUUAGUGCCAGCAGCCGCGGUAAUACGAAGGGUGCAAGCGUUACUCGGAAUUACUGGGCGUAAAGCGUGCGAAGGUGGUGGUUUAAGUCCGUUGUGAAAGCCCUGGGCUCAACCUGGGAACUGCAGUGGAUACUGGAUCACUGGAGUGUGGCAGGGGGUAGUGGAAUUCCCGGUGUAGCAGUGAAAUGCGUAGAGAUCGGGAGGAACAUCAGUGGCAAAGGCGACUGCCUGGGCCAACACUGACACUGAGGCACGAAAGCGUGGGGAGCAAACA
This 426-nucleotide ribosomal RNA is filed under the name uncultured Lysobacteraceae bacterium. RNAcentral's name for it is "bacterial SSU rRNA". It matches the Rfam family "Bacterial small subunit ribosomal RNA", at positions 356 to 774 of the family's 1533-position model. Lineage: Bacteria; Pseudomonadati; Pseudomonadota; Gammaproteobacteria; Lysobacterales; Lysobacteraceae. The record is from RNAcentral.